RNAcentral lists this long non-coding RNA (31615 nucleotides) under Phaseolus vulgaris (common bean). Its description in RNAcentral is "long non-coding RNA (PVUL_LNC000431)". The record is from RNAcentral. Lineage: Eukaryota; Viridiplantae; Streptophyta; Magnoliopsida; Fabales; Fabaceae.
UCUUGGACAGGCUGCAGUUUUAAGCAGUGAGCGUGGCUUUUCUUUAGGAGCCAAUGAUUCACCAAGCUUAACCUCCUGCACUAAAUCUGUAUGAAAAUCUGCAGAAAGAAAUACAAAAUGCAGCAGAAAUUGAUGUAAGAAUAACUUUUAGUUUGAUUCUUUCUUGUUUCUUAUUUUGUAUGAGUGAUUGCAGCUUGCUUUUAAGCUGGGAAGAGCCUUAUGAAAGUAGGGGAUUUGUAUUCUGUUAUAUGUUUUUAUCUGGGUAGGUUAGAGCAUUCCUGAAAUAUUCCUUUUAUUUUAUUUUAUUUUUUACUGAUAAAAAAAAUAACUAGUUAUUUUUUAUACUAAAUGAAAUCACAAAUAUUACCUAAUAGAACGAGGAACCAAUUUCACUGGGAAAAGAUUGCUCACAUUAAAUACAUAUGGGUUGAUAGAAAAGUAGUAAACUAGUAGACGAAGCACAAAUUGGAAAUUCCUAAGGCACAAAUUCUCAUAUGCCUACGUUUUCAUCAGGGGUCAACUCUCCACAAUUUCUUCAUUUCAAAUACAAUCUUUAUUUAAUGCAGAUAUUUUAAUCUCUAGCUCACCACUUUCUUCAAUGAUAACUGUGACAAUAUUUAAUAAAUUUACAUGAGAAAAUUGAAUUAUUUUUUGUCUUAAUUGUCGUUUGAAAUAACAAUAAUCCCUACUUUCAGAAUUAUUGAAUCCAAAUAUUUGUUCUUGAGUCAUGAGAUAAAUGGAGUCAUUUAAUUCAAAUUUUAGAUAGUUAAGAAUGGAGGAAGGAAAUUAUUGGAAGAUUCAUGAAGAAAUUAGGAAAAAAUAGAUAAAUUGCACACUGCCUUUCGUUCUCUAAAGGGUAUUUGUUUUCUUCCACUUUUUGGUUCACUUCUAAUGAUAUUAUGUCAUUUUUUGUCAAGAAGGAAUCUACGUUUGUGCAUGUUGAUGAUAAUGUCUAAUUUAAGUAAUAUUUCAUAUUAAAAUAUAGACACUUAUGAGGAUUUAUUGUUAAUUUACAUAAAAAAAAAUAAUCUCUAAUUUAUGAAUUUAUACCUUUUUACAUUUUUUAUGAUCUUUAUUUGAAUAAGAGUAUUUUAUUCCGAAAUUUGAUGUUAAUUGCAGAUUUAUAAGGAAGAUUGAAGAUUUGGAUUAAAGAUGAAUGAUUUGAGCUAAAAAGAUAAAGAUAGAAGGUCCCAUAAUGGAAAAAGAUGCAAAUGAAGAUUGAGACUUUUUUAUGUUUUAUCAGCCCGUUAGCCUAACCCUAGAAAACUACGAUAAAUAGAGGGCUAGAGGCUCAACCUUAAGGUGCCAGAUUGAGAGGAAAACACCAUAGAGUGAAUUGUAACCAGUUGGGAGAAUGGAAGGUGCUAGAAGUAUGCGUGGCUAAUUCUACCUUUGGGAUUGGGAGUAAUCUGCUCAAACUCUUAUGUAUUGAGGAGUGAUAUCUUAUAUAUUAAUAUUCAGUUCUUGAUUGAUUAUUGGUAUUGUUGUUUUACUUUUAAUUUUCCGUGACAAAUUGAGAAUCUUAAAUCUGACCGGGAGGUAUUUUUAGGGUUCUGACCUAAACAACAAUACUUAACAUAUUUGAGUGUUAGGAAUAGUGUUAAUUGCUAUUAAACGUCUGAGCUUCGUUCUAAGUUGUGUUCUUAUAAUUAUGCGAGAGAUCGAUAGUUAGGGACAUUCUUAAGGAUUUUAUAUGCGAGAAAUCGAUAUAAAUGAUUUUUAUACAGGCAUCAAUUUCAAUCAAAUAUUGACAUGCUAAUCAAAAUACUUGAGAGUGAGAGAGAUGAAACUAAUCCUUAUUUUUUCAAUUGAAACAACUAAUUCUUUGUGUGUUUUCUUAUUGAUCAGUGCCAACACAAUUAAUCCAAAACUCUUUUAAAUGUUAUGUUUUUAUAUUUAGCGAUUAUUGUACUCGAUAAUUCACUGUUCCUUGUGGGAUUGAUAUCCGUUCUUAGGAAUAUACUAACUAUUUUUUUUUUAUGUGAAUAAAUUUUUUAGUUUUUGAUUUUUUUUAGAAUUGUAUAUUUUUGUAAAGAUUUUGUUUUUAUUUUUAGAUGUGAAUAAUUUUGUUUUUUUUUUUAGAUUUGUAUAUUUUUUAUUUUUAUUUUUUUUAAAGAUUUUGUUUUUUUUUUCUAGUUUUGAAUAUGUAAAAAGUUUUUUUUUAGAUGUGAAUAUGUUUGUUUUUUUUUUUUGUAAAACUGUUAUUUUUAUGUUAAUAAUUUUUCUUUUAACUUUUUUUUAUUUUUAUUUGUUUACUUUAUUUAUUUUAUUUUGAUUCUGUUUUGUUAUAUUUUAUUUUAUUCUUUACUUCUUUAUUUUUAUAUUGUUUACGUAGUUUUUUUUACUGUAAUUAUUUUAUUUUAUUUUUAUUUUUAUUUUUAUUUUUAUUUUUAUUUUAUUUUGAUUUGGAUUUUGUUUUAUCAUAUUUUAUUUUUACGUUUAGCUUAAAUUGUUUAUUUAGAGUUUACGUUUCUGUUUAAGUAGUUUCUGUUUUACUAUUAGUUUCUGUUUUAUUUUUGUUUCAUUUUUAUAUUAUUUAGUUAUUUUUCUUAAUAGUUAUUUAUUUAGUUUUUUAUUUUUUAGUUUUUAUUUUACGCAAGUUUUUUUUCUAUCUAUAUAUUCUGUUUUAGUUUUCUUAGUUAGUUAGUUAUUUAAUUUUUUUUAUUUUGCAUAUUUUUAGUUUUUAUAUAUUAUUCUUGUUUUUAUUGAUUUUAUUUUUCUCUUUGUUAAAAAUUAUAGUUUUAUUAUUUUAUUUAGUUUUUAUUUAAGUUUUUGUUUCUUUUAUUUUAUUUUUUUGUUCUGUUUUUCAUUUACUAUUUAUUUCUCUUUCUUUUGUUAUUUUAAAUUUUCUGUUUUUCUUUAUUUCAUUUUUUUAAAAAAAAAAAAAAACUAUUUACUUGUUAUACUAAUCUUUGCUUGAGUUGUCUUAUGAUAUGAAGAAAACAAGUUUUUAUAGAUUGAGCAAUUGAGAAGACAACUCGGAAGAAUAGAAGUUAAAAGUAAAGAAAAGAGAAGCAAGGAGAGAAGUUAGAAAAGACUGAGAGAUGAUGAUGACGGUACCAAUCACUCCUAUCAGAUAAGUCCAACUGGUAAACCAUGGAGAAUUUCAAGGGAAACCCUACCUAUGUUAUGUAUUUUGACCUGAGGAUAGGUUCUAAUAUUCAGGGGGCAGAUCCAGCAAAUGAAGCAAGACUGUAGAUAAAGAUUUUAACAAAAAGCUGGAUGACUUCUUAAGAAGAGAGGAUUGAGCAAAAAUAUGGUUUUAUCUUUCUAAUUCUCUUUUCUUUUCAAAUUAUUUGAAUUUUAUCUUAUUUUAUUUAUUUUAUUUUUUGGUUAUUUUGUUUUCUGUUUAUUUGCUUAUUUGUUUAGUUUGUUUUUAUUGCUUAUUUUGAAUAAAUGUCCUGUUUUGUUAGUUUGGUAGUUUUAAGUCUUGAAUGAUCUUUCUUGAAUAAAUUUCAGUUUUAAUUUGUUUAUUUUCUAGUUUAUUUUUUCAAAUAAAAAAGAACUAGAAUAUUAAUUUUGAAUUGUGGAAAAAAGAAUUUGUGUUUAAAUAUUAAAUAGUGAGAUGAAUUAGACACAGGGUAGAAAAGAAAAUAUGACUGAAUCCCUAUUCAAAUGUAGUUAAAAUUAUGAUACAUGAAAAUAAUGACAAGAUAAUUGAUUAGGACAAAUAAUGACAAGACAAGAAGGAAUGAGACCAUUUAAACCAAGUGAGUGUGUGAACCUGAAACAGUUUUUGAGAGUUUUACUGAUGAAUUGACAGUUGUGGUUGCUUAAUUUUUAUUUUAUUUUUGUUGCAUCAUAAAAGAGCAGGAAGAUGAUUGAGAUAUUUGUUUGUGUUAAUUAGGAGCCAGGGCCAAAAAGCCAACCCUUUAUAUUAGUAUUCCAUUUUUUUUAUAUCCCCUUGGGCCAAGAAAUUUUUUUGUUGUUAAUAUUGCACCUUAACAUUUAUUGAUAUAAUUUCCUACCCUUUAGCAUGUCUAAGGAAGGAGAACAUAGAUGCAAUACAUAUAGAAAAGGGAAUGGUUGGUUCUGAUUGUGAAAGUUCAAAAAGUUUAAAAUAGGAAGAAUUUUUUCCUAUUAUUGAAAAAAAAAGAAAAAAAAAACAAGAAACAGAAACAGAAGAAGAAAAAGAAGUAGAAAAGAAAGAUAGUAAAAUUUCAUGAAAAGAAAGAAAAUGAGGAAAAAGGUGAUAUCGAAAGAAAGUGGUAAUUAGAUAACAUAUAUGUUCUCUAUAAUUGAAUUGUAGGUAUGUUCUUCUCCUUUAAUAUGUGCCUUUUGUUAUCUAAGAAAAACUAAUAUUUUUUGGAAGCCCAGCCUCAUUACAACCCUGGAAAAGACCUCAAGAUUCAUGUUUCUAAUAUGUUUGUGAUUAGGGUGUUAUGGUUGUGUGCUGGUGCUGACAAGUUGUGAGGUGACACGGAGUGUCCAAUGAGGAGAAUAAAUGAAAUCAAAUAAAAAAAUAUUGAUUACCUAGGUAGAGUAAUAGAGGUUGUUACAUCAUUAAUGGAAAGAUUCUUGGAACUCUUUGAUGUAGAGAAUUCCUCUAGGAUCAUUCUUCCAACUAAAAAUGGUGGGUUCUUGGGUUUUGGAAGGGCCAUUGAUUGCAUCACUUGCCAACAUUACAACAUCAGACAUGGCUGAUCUAUCUUUUGCAUCUUCUUGAACUCACAACAAACCAAUCUGUAUGCAUCUCUCAAGUUCACUGCCUACAAAGGAUUUUUCCAGCGUUGGAUCCAUCAUUUCCAAACAUUUUCCUUCACACCAUAUUCUCCAAAAUCCAAAAUCUGAUAUUUUUGGAUUCAUGUCAUGUCUAAUAAAACAUUGCUAUCUUUGAGAUCUCUGUGAAUUACUUUAAGUCGAGAGUCCUCGUGAAGGUAUAAAACACCUCUUUCAAUUCCAUUGAUAAAGUUUAAUCUUAAUUUCGAAUCAAAAAGCUUUUUCCUCUCAUCAUCUGAGAACACAAGAACAGAGAAGAAAUUAAGCAACAAUACAGUAUUUGAAGCAAAAUCUAUCAAAUACCAAAUGAGAUUUGGCCUUAUCCUGGGAAAAGAAUUAUUUUAUAUUUUAUCCUUAAAGAUAAUCUAUAACAUGAUCAUUCAUUACAUGAUAUAACUUGAAUUUAGUUUCAUGUUAUGAAAGGAGAAGAAAAUGCUAUUUUGGGUAUUAUUACCCUGUUUUGUUGUUCUUGUUCUUAAAAUCAAGAGUACUAUAAAGUACUUUAAAGUCCAUAAUAGAAUGAAUUGACUUGUUAAUCAAUAGAUAUUUUUAAAAAUUACAGUGAAAAUAUGCAUAGGAGUGUUGUGUUCUUGUAGAGUUCAAGAUUAACACUCUUACCUGUUUUUGUAAAUUCUCAGUAAGUACAAACCUCAUCUUAAACAUCAAUUUUAUAUACUCUGAUAAAAUAUUUAAACUUAAAGUUCCCUUUCUAAUAAUAUAUACUCUGAUACAAACAGAGUAUAUAUAAGAUCUGUCCAGUGAAGAGCUAAAAGCUAUUUUUCUUCGUCAUAUCCCUGAACAAAAUAUUUAAUUUCUAUAAUUAAGAAAUUUAAGAAAAUAGAUAUCAAUCCACAAGAAGAAACUCGAAAGUAUUAGAAUUUAUAUGUACAACUACUAUACUAAGAAUUAAUUUCUAAUCCAAUAACACAAUCCUCCUUAAAUAAAUUCCGUCAUCAUUUUAAUAUAACUUUAACUGUAUCAAUAAGGAAUUUUGAUUUUAGUAUAUCUAAGAUAUUUAUUGAUUUAUUAUUUUUAUACUAUGCUUAACUUUUCUAAAUAAAUUUGAGCUAGCUAGAGUAAUAGAAUCAUGACUGAUUCAACUCUGUCAAUGUCUAAAUAAAAGAAAAAUUGGAUCACCAGACAGGGAAACAAAAAAAUAGGAAAACGAAGGAAGAUAAAAUUGAAAACUGAGAAAAAUAAAUAGGGAUUGAUACUUGAGAAAGGAAGGAAAGAAAUGAUCUGAGUUGGGUUGCUUUUUAGUAAUGUUUGAGUUGUUUAAUUAGUUUUUUGAUAGGUAAGUUAGGUAUGGAAUGUCUAUAAAUUUAAGAGUUGAGACAUAAUUAAGGUUCCUUGGAUUUAAUAUAAGGAGUUGAGAUAUUUUCAGAACAUUAUCCAAACUCAACUACUUUAUGCACGUGAUCGUAUUUGUGUGGUUCAGAACACUCAAAAACAAGGAUUGAAGUAAAGCCAUCGUGAAGAAUUCUCACCUUCACUCCAACUUUCACAAUCCUUUCUUCUCUUUCAUUUUCCCACUUCCUUUCCAACCAUGUCAGACCUUGAAACUAUUGGAGGUGCUGUUCUCCAGGCACUAUUUGACAAGCUCGAUUCUUAUCAACUUCUCGACUACUUUCGUGGCGGAGAGCUCGAUGAGAGGCAACUGAAACAGUUGAAAAUGAAGCUGAUGGACAUCGAUGUUGUGAUUGAUGAUGCAGAACAAAAGCAGUUCACUAAUUCAUUGGUCAAACAAUGGCUUGAUGAGGUCAGAGAUGCAUUGUUGAUGCGGAGGAUCUGUUGGAGCAAAUAGACUAUGAAUUCUCCAAAACUCAGUUGAAACCUGAAUUUCAGAGCAGUUCUAGCAAGGUAAACAAUUUUCAAUCCGAGAUGUUAGAACUCCUAGAUGAACUAGAAUCUCUCUUAAACCAAAAGAUUGUUCAAGAUUUCAAAAUUUCCAGUGGUUUUGGAUCUGGGUUGGCUAAUAACGUGUCAGGGCAAAUAAAUGAAUCCUCAUUGUUGGUGGCACAAGAGGUUAUUUAUGGCAGAGAUGAGGACAAACAAAUCAUACUUAAGUGGGUUACUUCUGAGAGUAACAAUCAUAACCAGUUGUCAAUACUUUCUAUUGUAGGUAUGGGUGGGAUGGGUAAGACCACAAUACUUUCUAUUGUAGGUAUGGGUGGGAUGGGUAAGACCACACUUGCUCAACAUGUAUACAAUGACCCUAAGAAUAAGGAAGCUAAAUUUGACCUUAAAGCUUGGUUCUGUGUUUCAGAUGAAUUUCACGUUCUGAGGGUAUCAAAAGCAAUUAUUAGGGCUUUCACUAAAUCAAAAGAUGAUAGUGAAGACCUAGAAAUGGUUCAUGGAAAACUGAAAGAAAAAUUGACUGGAAUGAAGUUUCUUCUGCUUCUGGAUGAUGUCUGGAACGAAGACCGAUAUCAAUGGAAAUCAUUGCAAACUUCUCUUAAAUAUGGUGCUAAGGGAAGUAAAAUUCUUGUCACAACACGCAUUAACAAAGUUACAUCUACCGUGGAGUCAAACAAAAUUCACCCACUAAAGCAAUUACAAAAAGAUCACAGUUGGCAAGUUUUUGCUAAACAUGCAUUUCACGAUGAUAACUCUAAGUCGAAUUCUGUGUUGGAGGACAUUGACUUCAAUAUAGUUGAAAAGUGCCAAGGACUGCCUCUGGCCCUUGAAACGGUAGGAGGUAUCUUACAGUCAAAGUCAUCUGUUUCAGAGUGGGAAGGUGUACUGAAAAGCAACAUAUGGGACUUACCAAUAGAAGAUAGUAAAAUCAUCCCCGCUUUGUUAUUGAGCUAUUACCAUCUUCCUUCUCACCUCAAGAGAUGUUUUACUUAUUGUGCGUUAUUCCCCUUGUCCAGAUCACUAACUGGUUCUAAUCUUAAAACCGAAGUUCUAAUUUAUUAAUAAUCACAAAACAAAAUACAUAAAAAAAAAUUUAAAUACUAGAAAAACUAAACACCUAGAAGUUAGAAAAAUAAGAAACUAUAAAAAUAAUAAAAUUCAAAAUAAAAUAAAAAUAAGACAAAGCAAAAUCAAAAUAAAAAAAAAUCAGAAUGACCUUUUUCAUCCAAAAUAAAGACCAAAAGAAUGUCUUGACCUUCUCGUGGAACUUAGGUAGAAAUCUGGAAAGAGUUGCAGCUUCCUGUUCAGACAUUGGAGUUCCUUGAGGUUACUCGAACUCCUCAUACUUAAGAUGACCUCACACUUUUCUAGAUUGGUCUCAAUACCUAGCCUAAGAACUUUACGCCACCAAUAUUCCUGAAGAAGCAUUUUUUAGGGUUGAGACACAUAUUGUGUGCUCAAACUUGGUUAGACACUUUCUCCAAGUGGAUUGGAUGGUCUUUGACUGUCACUGAUUUAAUUACCAUGUCAGCAACAUAAACCUCACGAUAUUAUUGAUGAGGUCUUUGAACACUUUUUCCAUUAGUAGCUGGCACAAGCAUUUUUAUGGUCAAAAGACAUGACCUUGUAACAAAAGUUGAACCCUUUUGUCAUGAAUGCAAUCUUUUCUUCAUUAUACAGAUACAUUCUGAUCUAAUUGUACCUAAAAUUGGAACCAAGAAAGUUGAACAACUCGAAACCUUAAACAUUAUCCAUGAGCCAAUCUAUACUUGGAAGGGGAUAUGUGUCUUUUGGACAUGUCUUGUUUAAGUCAGCGUAAUCAAUGCACAUUCUCUACUUGCCAUUUUCUCUAAAUCAACUGCUAGUCUUCUCUCCUUUGUGAGCUUGUGUUUCCUUUGGGCCAUGGGCUUUGCCUGGGGUUGAAUGACAAGCUUAUGACACAUAAAGUUAGAGACUAUGUCAGGCAUGCAUGCUAGAAUCCAAGCAAACAGGUCGACAUUACAGAUGAGGACUCUUUCAAUAUCAUUCCUUAAAGCACAGUUGAUCAUCUUUCAGAUCCUAGUGAGUUGAGUGGGUAGAUGGUCGAAUUUACCGUGAUGAUGGUCAUCAAAGGUAGGUCGAUUGUCUCUAAAUUCUACCCUAAGGUCGAAGUCCAUUUCAUCUUCUACUGGAGAUGUCAGGCUAAUCUCCUUGACAAUAAGACAUAUUUGGAUGGUGCCACAUUCUCCUGGUAAUGUAUUCCACAACGAAAAAUUAUUUCCAUUGAACAUCUAUAUCUCAUUUUUUUUCCAUGGAUCUAAAAUCGAUUUAUGCACUUCUUGUUGAUUUUGGCUUAAUCCCAAUUCCCACAUCAGUGGGUUUGUUUGGGAAGGAGGUUUGAGGGUUAUAAAUUAAACUCUCCUCCUUCACUGUUAAAUAUUCCAAUUUGUAAUAUCUUCUCCCAUAAUAAUAAAAGCGAGUUGUUUUUGCUGUGCUCGGAGAUUAGGCUAAACAGACCGAACUCCGUUAACAAUUUUCGGGUGUGUUUUUUCUUCUUUAUCUCUUUUAUUAUUCCGCUUUAUUUAUUCAAUAUUAUUUGUCGGGUAGCUCUGUUAGGGUUUUGUUUUAGUGGGAAAAGUACCUGUUUUUCCGAACAAGUAGUAUCAAGAGCCGAAGGUUCGCCUUGGGUUGUUUGAAAUUGUUUGUAAUAUUGAAUACAAUAUUUUGAGUUUGUGAUGGCAAGAGGUCGUCAGCAAAGUCAGACAAAGGGGAGAAGAGGGAGGUCUAAGUCUAAAGGUCGAGUCGUUGCCAAAGAUGAGUGUGCUUUCUGUCAUGAGAAAGGACACAGGAAGAAAGAUUGUCCAAAACUGUAGAAGAAAGGGAAGGCUCCACAAGAUGCAAAUGUUGCAGAAUGCAAAAGUGAUGUGGAAUCAGAUAUUUCUUUAAUUGUCUCGCUUUCAGCAUCAUCGUAUCCAGAUGAGUGGAUAUUGGAUUCAGGUUGUACCUAUCAUAUGUGUCCCAUUCGGGAUUGGUUCUUNNNNNNNNNNNNNNNNNNNNNNNNNNNNNNNNNNNNNNNNNNNNNNNNNNNNNNNNNNNNNNNNNNNNNNNNNNNNNNNNNNNNNNNNNNNNNNNNNNNNGAUGGAUCCACCAGAAUUUUGCGGGAUGUACGGUACGUGCCAAAGUUAAAGAAGAAUCUAAUCUCAUUGGGGGCUUUAGAAUCUAAAGGCCUAGUUGUGACGAUGCGAGAUGGAAUUCUUAAAGCAACUUCAGGAGCACUGGUGAUGUUGAAAGGCGUGAGGAAGAACAAUUUGUAUUACUAUCAAGGUAGUACAGUGGUGGGGACAGUAGCGACAACAACUUCUAGCUCUAAGAAGGAUGUUGAGGCAACGAAGUUGUGGCAUAUGAGGUUGGGACAUGCUGGAGAGAAAUCCUUGCAAAUUCUUACCAAGCAGGGAUUGUUGAAAGGUACGAAGGCUUGCAAACUUGAAUUUUGUGAGCAUUGUGUUCUGGGAAAACAACGAAGAGUGAAGUUUGGCACUGCAAUUCACAAUACCAAGGGUAUUCUGGAUUAUGUGCAUUCAGAUGUGUGGGGACCUGCCAAGACUCCGUCAAUCGGAGGUAGGCAUUAUUUUGUCACUUUUGUUGAUGAUUUUUCCAGGAGAGUUUGGGUGUUUACUAUGAAGAACAAAAAUGAUGUGCUUGAAAUUUUCCUUAAGUGGAAAGCUCAAGUUGAAAACCAGACAGGAAGGAAGAUUAAGGUUCUCUGAACAGACAAUGGAGGAGAAUACAAGAGUGAUCCGUUCCUGAAGGUAUGCCAAGAUUGUGGCAUAGUUCGGCACUUCACUGUUAGAAAAACACCACAACAGAAUGGGGUUUCGGAGCGUAUGAACAAGACACUUGUGGAGAAAGUUCGUUGUAUGUUGUCUAAUGCUGAGUUAGGCAGAGAGUUUUGGGCUGAGGCUGUGACAUACGCUCAACAUCUCGUCAAUCGUUUGCCAUCAUCUACUAUAGAUGGAAAAACCCCGUUAGAGGUAUGGUCUGGAAAACUUGCAACUGAUUAUGAUUCUUUGCAUGUUUUUGGUUCUAUUGCAUAUUAUCAUGUGAUUGAAUCAAAGUUGGAUCCACGGGCAAAGAAGGCUCUUUUCAUGGGCUUUAGUCCUGGAGUGAAGGGAUACCGUUAGUGGUGUCUAGAGGCAAAGAAGACGAUUAUCAGCAGGGAUGUUACCUUUGAUGAAUCUUCCAUGUUAAAGAAGGUAAAUCUAGAAGGAGCUGAUAUUACUCCACAGCAGGUGGAGUGUGCCCAGAAGCAGGUGGAGUUUGAGCAGACAGUGGUGAUCCCAACACGAAAUACCACAAGUGACUCUCCUAUGACAGAAGAAGAGUCAGAUGAGGAAGAGGUUCCUGCCCAAGAAUCUCAACAGCAAUCAGCGUCAAUUGCAGUUAGAAGACAGAGACGAAACAUUCAUAAGCCUGCUCGUUUCAUUGAUAUGGUUGCCUAUGCACUUCCAGUUGUUGAUGACAUUCCAUCCACUUACCCAGAAGCCAUUCUGAGUUCAGAGAGUGGUAAUUGGGCAGGUGCGAUGGAAGAGGAGAUGCAGUCUUUGAAGAAGAACAAGACGUGGAAGUUGGCACAAUUACCAAAAGGUAAGAAGGCAAUUGGGUGCAAAUGGGUAUUUGCAAAGAAAGAAUGAUUUCCUAAUAAAGAAGAUGUUCGCUACAAGGCAAGGUUGGUUGCUAAAGGCUUUGCUCAGAGAGAGGGAAUUGAUUAUAAUGAGGUAUUUUCUCCAGUUGUUAAACAUUCCUCCAUUCGAAUUUUGUUGGUCUUGGUAGCACAGUUGAAUUUGGAGCUUGCUCAACUUGAUGUAAAGACCGCAUUCCUACACGGUGAUUUGGAGGAGGAAAUCUAUAUGACUCAACCAGAAGGAUACAAGGUUGAUGGUAAAGAAGAUUGGGUUUGUAAACUUAGCAAAUCGUUGUACGGACUGAAACAAUCUCCGAGACAGUGGUACAAACGAUUUGAUAAGUUCAUGAAGGAUCAGAAGUACAAGAGAAGCAAAUAUGAUCACUGUGUGUAUUUGCGCAGACUUGAAGAUGGUUCCUACAUUUACUUACUCUUAUAUGUUGAUGAUAUGCUGAUUGCAGCAAAGAGCCAAGUUGAGAUUGACAGGUUAAAGGCUCAGUUGAAUAAAGAGUUCGAGAUGAAGGAUUUGGGGGAAGCCAAGAAGAUUCUCGGCAUGGAGAUAAACAGGGACAGGGAGAGGGGAAAACUUUGGCUGUCACAGAAGCAGUAUUUGCAGAAGGUACUACAACGUUUUGGUAUACACAAAGAUACAAAACCUAUAAGUACCCCACUUGCUCCUCAUUUGAAAUUGAGUAGCCGUUUAUCUCCGACGACUGAUGAAGAACGAGAAUACAUGGCGAAAGUCCCAUAUGCAAAUGCGGUUGGAAGCNNNNNNNNNNNNNNNNNNNNNNNNNNNNNNNNNNNNNNNNNNNNNNNNNNNNNNNNNNNNNNNNNNNNNNNNNNNNNNNNNNNNNNNNNNNNNNNNNNNNNNNNNNNNNNNNNNNNNNNNNNNNNNNNNNNNNNNNNNNNNNNNNNNNNNNNNNNNNNNNNNNNNNNNNNNNNNNNNNNNNNNNNNNNNNNNNNNNNNNNNNNNNNNNNNNNNNNNNNNNNNNNNNNNNNNNNNNNNNNNNNNNNNNNNNNNNNNNNNNNNNNNNNNNNNNNNNNNNNNNNNNNNNNNNNNNNNNNNNNNNNNNNNNNNNNNNNNNNNNNNNNNNNNNNNNNNNNNNNNNNNNNNNNNNNNNNNNNNNNNNNNNNNNNNNNNNNNNNNNNNNNNNNNNNNNNNNNNNNNNNNNNNNNNNNNNNNNNNNNNNNNNNNNNNNNNNNNNNNNNNNNNNNNNNNNNNNNNNNNNNNNNNNNNNNNNNNNNNNNNNNNNNNNNNNNNCGUUAUCACUUUGUGCGUGAGAUUCUCGAAGAAGAGGAGAUUGUUCUCCAGAAGAUUCACACUACGGAGAAUCCUGCAGAUAUGCUCACCAAGGUGGUUACAAGGACCAAGUUUGAACACUGUUUAGACUUGGUUAAUAUCUUGCACAUUUGAAGUUGGCGCCCGAAGGCGCAAAUUUGAAGCACUACAAAGUUUGUUUUUGUUAUGUUUUGAGAAGAUUUGUUUUAGGUGGGACUUGAAAUUAAGCCAAGGUGGAGAUUUGUUGAUUUUGGCUUAAUACCAAGUCCCACAUCGGUGGGUUCAUUGUUUGGGAAGGAGGUUUGAGGGUUAUAAAUUAAGCUUUCCUCCUUCACUGUUAAAUAUCCCAAUUUGUAAUAUCUUCUCCCAUAAUAAUAAAAGCGAGUUGUUUUUGCUGUGCUCGGAGAUUAGGCUAAACAGGCCGAACUCGGUUAACAAUUUUCGGGUGUGUUUUUUCUUCUUUAUCUCUUUUAUUAUUCCGCUUUAUUUAUUCAAUAUUAUUUGUCGGGUAGCUCUGUUAGGGUUUUGUUUUAGUGGGAAAAUUACCCGUUUUUCCCAACACUUCUCACUAUGAAUAGUAUUAUUUACUGGUAUAAUGGCUAUAGAUUGUGAAAUAGUACAUCAGGUAAGUUUCUAGGAAAGAGAUGUGAGUCAUAAAUGGACACGCUUAAGUACCAAGUUUUUCAUUGUCAUAAUAUUCCUAGACAUGCCUUUUUACACUACCACACUUUAUAUUUAAUAACAAGAAUAAUUCAUUUCUGAUGUGACAGAUCAUACUAUAGUUAAUAUAAAAGAAGAAGUUGAGAGGUUCAUGAUGACGAUGAAGCCACAAUCCAGCUUCUAGUGAGUACCAUAAGACUUGUGGUCUCAGAACAAUUUUAACUAGGCCCAUAGUGGGUGUCAAAUGUUCUUACCAAGGUUGAGCUGAAAUCAUCUAAGAUGGAUGCACAACCUAUAAGGGCGAAUUGACCUCUUCGAGGAAGGGUUGUCAAACUUUGAUGAUAAAAAGCGAGUGGUGAUCCACUUGUAAAGGAUUCUCCAAAUAUUAAGGUGAUUAAUCUAUUAUUAAAUUGGACUAAUUUCACUAGCACAAAAUGUAUAAACAAUGACUAUUUAUUUAAUGCAGUUUUAGGGUUAGCCGUUGUCAUUCAAAAUGCGGUGGUAUUUUUGAAAUUAAUUUCAUUUACGAAUGCGGCUAUUUGUAAUAGCUGCAUCCUUAAAUCAAAACGCAUGAUUUACGAAUGCAACUAUUUAAAUAGCCGCAUUCUUAAAUCAAAGCGCAUGAUUUACGAAUGUGGCUCUUUAAAUAGCCGCAUUCGUAAAUCAAAGCGCAUGAUUUAAGAAUGCGGCUAUUACCAAUAGCCGCAUUCUUAAAUAAUUUUUUUACCCUAAUUUUGAAGCGCGUCACUUACGCUUUCAUACUUUUUUUUUUUGGCGCUUCGCGUUUUCUCUUUGUUUCUGCUAUGGUGUUUCUCUCUUCUGCGAGUUUCAUUGUGUUCUCGUACCAAUGUAAGUUCAUUUCGAUUCGGUUUAUACAUAUUUUUUGUUUCACUUAUUUGUUUGUUUUCUUGCAUUGGCGAAGGGUUAUUUGACGCUUCAUUUUCUCUUUUGUUUAUGCUCUCGUGCUUCCUCUCGUUUUCUACGAGCCUUCAUUGUCUUCUUUGUGCCAUUGUAAGUUCUUUUCGAGUUCUCUUUCUUCUUCACCAUUGAUUUAUAUAUAUUUUUUCGUUUCUCUUAUCUAUUUGUUUUCUUGUAUUGACGAAGGUCACCAGCUUCAUUGUCUGCUGUUUGGAUUUUUGCUAUGCCAUAUUUGCUCCGUUGUUGCUGUUGCCACCGCUGUUGCUGCCUUAGGGUUUACGGUUUUAAUUUUUUUAAAAAAAUUAAAUAAGAAUGCGAUUAUUUACCAUAGUCGCAUUUAUAAAUCGCAUUUACGAAUGCGACUAAAUAACCGCACUUGUAAAUCUUCGAUUUAAGAAUGCGUGCUGAUCAAGUGCGGCUAUAUAACCGCCCUUGUAAAUGUAAAAUAGCCGCACUCGUUUGACCUGUCUGCACUACUGUUUCUAUUCUAACAAAUGAGUUUUUAAUUUGCAGAUGGUUUGACAUGUCAAAUGGAUAUUAUAUUAUGAAUAUUUUGACAAUGAAUUGAAUAGUACAAUAAUAUAUAUAUAUAUAUAUAUAUAUUUAUUAAAAUGACAUAAACAUUAAUUUAUAGUUAUUAUUCCAUAACCCUACAAUUAAAUAAUAUUAAUCACAAAAAUUGAACAAUGUUGUUUUUUCUUGUUCGUUUUCACAUGCUCAUGCGUUCAUACACUGUUCUUGUUUAGGCUAAUUAAUGUAAAUGAUGAUCUUGUAUACUUUUCCAUACACAUAUUUUUCAAAGUAUUUUCUAAUAAUUUUUAGUCAUUGGCGUGUUAGUAAUACAAUAUUUGGCUAGAAACAAUGUAUUUACUUUUUGACUAAUAGGGAUAUGUUGUUACUAGACAUGAACACGGAUGAAGUAAGAUGAAAGAAUAAUAAUCUCUUAUACUUAUUCAAAAUCCCAAACAUUAAUUUGCAUUAAUAAAUAUCUUCCUCUUUUGUGGUGAAGUACCCAAGUAUAAAUAUUUAUUUUCAGUCAUUUGACCCUUUUAUUAAUAAAAUAAUAUUUUAAAAAUUAAACUAUCAAAAAAAUUAAUUUUCAAAAUAUGGUGAACUGAACAUUUAACAAGCCAACAAUAUUUUGUUUGAUAAAAGAUCCUUACAAAAAUAUUGCAUUAUUUUUACUAUUUAUUUCUUAUUUUUAAUGUAAAAUUGAUAAAAUAACAUAUUAUUGUUUAUAUAACUUUGUUUUACAAUUUUAAAUAAUAAUAAAAAUCACCAUUGUGUAUUUAUAUACUUUUGAAUGAAAAUAUAAAAUAAUUUUUAAAUAUAACACGACACGAAAAAAAAAUUAGCGAAAGUUUUUUACUAAAAAUUAAUAUAAUCUUAAUAUUAAAUAUAAUUAACAGAGACUUUUUUUAAUCUUAAUUAAGUUGUAUAUAAUCUUAAGAAAAUUAUCAAGAUUUAUUUUAAAUUAUAUUUUAUUUUUAAUUUCCAUCUAAUUUUGAUCUCAUUUUUCUGCUCUUUCCCUAUAAAAAUCAGUACCACAGACCUCACCCCUGCUCUUCGUUUCACAUAUUUCAUUUCAAAUGUUGAAAGCAGGUUCUACCUUAUUCCACAUGCACCAGUGCAAAAAUUGUGUUUAACGAUAUUGUGUAUCCAUCAAAAUGCAGUGACACUUUUAUGAUUAUUACAAAGAUAUAGACCCCGAUUAUAAAAGGCUCUUAACUUGUUCUUUCUUUCUUUCUUAACCUCUACAUGGAAGAGCUUUCAUUUAUAGAAGUACUAAAAAAACCAUUGUAAUCUUUGUAUUAUAAAGGAUAAUGUUAGAGUUUUACCAUAAGUUCACGACUUCAUGUUCACAUAUUUUUGGCAGUGUGCUGUCUACCAUUGGUUUUUGGCAGGCUUCUGUUCUCCUGAAACAGUGGAAGAAGUCUGUGUACUGCAGCUUCACCAACUCUUUUGGAGUAGGAUUAUACACAGAAUUUAAUGCUUUGGUGGUUUUGUAUGAGAACCAUUUGUUUGUUAGGCUCUAACCAUAUCUGUGUAGUCGGUGGUCGUCGAUGUUAUGCAACGCUCAACAUGAUCGCCGGUAAUUAAAACGACGAUAGUCAAUAUGAUCAUCGAUCGAGGAAGCGGCGUUCUCCAUAUGUGUGUAGUCGGUGGUCGCCGAAGUUACUUGAAAUGGCGUGCUCCAUAUGUAUGUAGUCGGUGGUUGCCAAAGUUAUACAAGGUCAACAGAAUCACCGCUCGAUGAAACGGCGAUCUCAAUACGUGCGUAGUCGGUGGAUGUCGAAGUGAUGCAAAGGCUAACAUGAUCGCCGGUCGGUGGUCGUCGAAGUUAUGCAAAGAUAAUCGCCGGUCGAGGAAGUGGCGUGCUCUUUAUGGACGUAGUCGGUGGUCGCCGAAGGCAAUGUGCAUGGGUAACUCGUCGCGUGGCGAGGUGAAUGUAGAAGGCAUCGGUUGUGGGCAUCUCGAGUUGUAAGUUGCUUAAGGUAACCUGUUGGCUGUUUUUUGGGUAUGGUUGUCUCACUUUAAGGUUGCUCUACCACAACCAUAAAGGAGAGUCUUUUGUGUGGAUGAUGUAGGAAGUCCACUUCUGGGUUACUGUAUAUGGGUUGGGAUACCCCUGAAGUAUCCCCUUAAUUUUAUUUAUUCAUUGCUUAUAAAAAAAAAAAAGCUCUAACCAACUUGAGGCCUUUUUGUGGUCUUGGUCGAUUUAUGGUAGUAGUGUAGGUUUACCUCAUAGCAUUUACCUGUUCAUGGUAUUUGGUUCUGGUUUUUUUAUAUGGGUUUAGGGGUGUCCCAUUUUAAUUUUAAUUUUUUACUGAUAAAAAAAAGUUCACAUAUUUUAUUGUUGAACUAAAACAGAUGUGUAAGGUGUACUUUUUAUUUUAAUUUUUAUCUCUGUUGUAUAUUUUCUUCAGUUGACAGUAUCAUAUCAAAUAUACUAACUUUGCCAUCAGAUAUCAAAUAUACUAGUUUUUGACAGUAUCAUAUCAUAUAAAAAAAAUCUCCAUGCUGAAUGAUGAAUCACUAAAUAUCACCUGAUAGAACUAGGAAACAAUGUCACUUAAUCUCAAAAAAGCAGUUCUGCACAUACAAAUAAUUAGAUGUAGAUGCAGUCUCAAACUGUGAGAUUCAUCAGACUUGAGAAACAUGACAAAGAUUCAAACCACACAUUACUAUGUAAAGUUCUCUACGUUGUUUACAAACAAGCAGUGAUGCAAAAAUAGCAUAUGGAAGAAAUCAAAAUUCUGCAAGUUGUGAACGAACCCCUUAGACAUGCAAACAUGGGCAGACUUGUACACUUGAAAAUUUGAAGCUCGAAAUGUAAUGUGUUGCAGCUGGGUCAGUCGGGCAUGUAAUGUAUGUGACUUAAUAUCUGAUCCAAUUAUUUCCAUUACAUUGGAUUCAAUGUCUUCAUCCUGAGGUCCUUUAAUACUACCAUUCACAACUAUAAUCAAAGUCCAAAAUAAAUCAGUGACAUGAUACUUACCUUCAACAGGAAGAAGAUUGUUCACAAAAACGACAAAAAUAUUAAGACUAACAGUCAACUACUUGAAACCAUUUAAUUCAUCAAAUAUAUUUCUUGUUACGCUCCAAACCAUUCUGAAUAGGGAACAACUCAAGCUAAAAGAAAAAAAAAGGGAAAUGGACCGAUUUAAUAGUGGGUUGGGGUGUCUUUAUUCAUAAAGUAAGCCACCGAAAUAGACUAAUUCACUCAAGUUGGUAAAAACGACUAUGAAAGCCACAUGGUGCUGUCGGCAAUAAUCAUCAACAGCUACUGCUUCCUGCCCAUCACUCCUUUAUUGAAGCAAAUCCAUCUCCAACAAAAUUCUCACUCCUUCAUUCACGUCACUGAGCUUCACUUCCAAUUUUCACACCCCUUUCUUCUCUUUCAUUUGGCCACUUCCUUUCCAACCAUGCCAGUCCUAGAAACACUUGGCGGUGCUCUUUUUGGCGCUGUUCUCCAGAUGCUAUUUGACAAGCUCGAUUCUAAUCAAAUUCUCGACUACUUUCGUGGGAAAAAGCUCGAUGAGAAGCUGCUGAAAAAUUUGAAGAGGAAGUUGGUGUCCAUCAAUGCUGUGGUUGAUGAUGCAGAACUAAAGCAGUUCAGAAAUGCAUACGUUAAAGCGUGGCUUGACGAGGUCAGAGACGUGUUGCUGGACACAGAGGAUCUGCUGGAUGAAAUAGACUAUGAAUUCUCCAAAACUCAGUCACAACUUCAAUACCAAACCAGUUCUAACAAGGUACGCAUUCUUGAAUCCAAGCUGAAAGAAGUCCUAGAGGACCUUGAAUCUCUUUUAAACCAAAAGGAUGAUCUAGGUCUGAAAAAUGUUGGUGGUGUAAGAUCGGAAUUGGGUAAUAAAGUGUUAGAGAAAAGAAAUGAAUCUUCAUCGCUGGUGGCUGAAGAGGUUAUUUAUGGCAGAGAUGAGGACAAACAAAUUAUCCUUAAUUGGUUGACAUCUGACACUAACAAUCAUAACCAACUGUCAAUACUUUCUAUUGUGGGUAUGGGCGGGAUGGGUAAGACCACACUUGCUCAACAUGUAUACAACGACCCAAUGAUAGAGGCUAUGUUUGCUAUCAAAGCCUGGGUUUGUGUUUCUGAUGAAUUUGAUGUUUUCAUGUUAACCAGAGCAAUUUUUGAGUCAAUCCGUAAGGAAACUGAUAAUAGCAGAAACCUAGAAAUGGUUCAGGGACGAUUGAAAGAAAAAUUGAAUGGAAUGAAGUUUUUUCUGGUUCUGGAUGAUGUUUGGAACGAACACCGAGACCAAUGGAAAUCAUUGCAAACUCCUCUUAAAUAUGGUGCUAAGGGAAGUAAAAUUCUUGUCACAACACGCAUCAACAAAGUUGCUUCUAUCAUGGAGUCAAACAAGAUUCACAACCUAAAGCAAUUACAAAAAGAUCACAGCUGGCAAGUUUUUGCUAAACAUGCAUUUCAAGUUGAUAAUUCUAAUUUUGUGUUGGAGGAGAUUGGCAUGAAGAUAGUUGAAAAGUGCCAAGGACUGCCUCUGGCCCUUGAAACUGUAGGAGGUCUUUUACAAUCAAAGUCAUCUAUUUUAGAGUGGGAAGGCGUAUUGAGAAGCAACAUAUGGGACUUAGCAAUAGAAGAUAGUAAAAUCAUCCCCGCUUUGUUAUUGAGCUAUUACCAUCUUCCUUCUCAUCUCAAGAGAUGUUUCGCUUAUUGUGCGUUAUUCCCCAAAGACCAUAUGUUUGAUAAGGAGAACUUAAUUUUCUCAUGGAUGGCUGAAAAUUUUCUACAAUGCUCUCAGCAGAGUAAGUCUCUAGAAGAAGUAGGUGAACAAUACUUCAAUGAUCUAUUAUCAAGGUCAUUCUUUCAACAGUCAAUUAGGUACAAUCGAAAAUGUUUUGUGAUGCACGACCUUUUGAAUGAUUUAGCAAAAUAUGUUUCAGGUGAAAUCUGCUUCAGGUUGGGUGUUGAUAGAGCAGAAAGAGUACCAAAGACCACUCGUCACUUUUCAAAUAUAAAGAAUCCUUUUGAACGUGAUGAGCUUAGGAUUUUAGGUGAUGCUAAAAGGCUGCGAACAUUUUUGUCCACAUAUAGGAAUUAUGGGAUGUCAAUACAAGAGUUGAUCUCCAACUUUAAGUUCUUACGGGUCUUGUCUUUGUCUUCUCGUAUCAUAGAAGAGGUGCCUGACACAAUAGAUGAUCUUAUACAUCUCCGUUCAUUAGACCUUUCAAGGACACGCAUAACAAGACUUCCCGACUCAAUGUAUUCACUCUGUAACUUGCAAGUGUUGAAGCUAAACGAAUGUCUUCUUUUGAAGGAGUUGCCCUCAACUUUGCAUGAGCUCACCAAGUUGCGUCGCCUUGAACUUAAGGGAACUUAUUUAAGAAAGGCUCCAGUGCUUUUAGGAAAGUUGAAGAAUCUUCAAGUAUGGAUGGGUGGGUUUGAGGUUGGCAAAAAUAGUAGUGAGUUCAGUAUUCAACAACUAGGACAACUUGAUCUUCACAAGAAUCUGUCAAUUAGAAAUCUUGAAAAUAUUGUGGAUCCCUAUGAUGCAUUGGCAGCGAAUUUGAAGAAUAAAAUACAUCUUGUGGAGCUACGUUUAAAAUGGGAUUUGAAGCUGAAAAAUGAGGAUUCAAUAAAAGAAAGAGAAGUACUAGAGAAUCUACAACCUUCCAGACAUUUGGAGAAGUUGACAAUCACAGGCUAUUGUGGUACACAAUUUCCAGGUUGGUUAUCUGAUAAAUUUUUGUUGAAUGUGGUGUCCUUAAGCUUGGAAAACUGCAAAUAUUGUCAAUGGUUGCCUUCCUUGGGACUUUUGACAUUUCUCAAGCAUUUGAAAAUUGAGGGCCUUGAUGAGAUAGUGAGGAUAGGUGCUGAUUUUAACGGGAAUAUCUCUUCUGCAUUUGCAUCCUUGGAAACGUUGAGGUUUACUAAUAUGAAAGAAUGGGAAGAAUGGGAAUGCAUGACGGGUGCUUUUCCAAAGCUUCAUAGUCUUUUUGUAAUUAAGUGUCCCAAACUGAAAGGGCACUUGCCAGAGCACCUUCCUCAUUUAAAGAAUCUAAUAAUUAGUAUGUGCGAACAACUUGUGGCUUCGACUCCUAGAGCAGUAGAAAUAGAAGGUGUGAAGAUGGAGACUUCUUCAUUUGAUAUGCUCCUAUCUCAUACUCCUAUUCAAUCCUUAACUAUUUAUCGUUGUCUGGGCAUGAAUAUUCCUAUAAACCAUUGCUACCAUUUUCUUGUAGAAUUGCGUAUCAUUCAAUGUUGUGACUCUCUCACGUACUUCCCUCUAGACUUAUUUCCAAAACUCUACUACCUUACUUUAUGCAAGUUUCGUAACUUACAGACGAUAACACAAGAGCACCCUAAUCAUUUGAGGAGUGUGAGAAUUGAAAAAUGCUCUGAAUUUGAAACAUUUCCCAAUGAAGGAUUAUUUGCACCUCAGCUAGAGACACUUCAUAUUGAAGGAUUGGAGAAAUUGAAAUCAAUGCCUAAACGCAUGUCUGCCCUCCUUCCAUCUCUUAAUUAUCUUUAUAUAAUUAAUUGUCCAGAAGUGGAGUUGUCUGAGGGAUGUUUGCCAUCAAAUCUAAAACGCCUCUCUCUGUUGAAAUGCUCCAAACUUGUUGCCUCACUAAAGGAGGGGGUUUGGGGAACCAACCCUUCCAUAGAAUCCUUGUCUAUUCAAAAAGAGGAUGGGGACUGUUUUCCGGAUGAAGGUUUGCUCCCAGUCUCCCUUACUGUGCUACAUAUAAGAGAUUGUCCAAAUCUUAAGAAACUAAACUAUGGUGGUCUUUGUCACCUCACCUCUCUUCAGUUUUUACGGUUUCUUAAUUGUCCAAUACUACAAUAUUUGCCAGCAGAGGGUCUACCGGAAUCCAUUUCACAACUCGUCAUUCAAUGCUGUCCUUUGCUCAAACAGCAGUACAAGAAAGAAGAAGGCGAAGAGUGGAAAAAGAUUGCUCGCAUCAAAAAGUGUAUUGAGUAAACAUAUAAAUAAAAAAUUGGAAAUUCCUAAGGCACCGAUUCUCAUAUGCCUACAUUUUGAUCAGGUGUCAAUUCUCCCCACUAUCUUUCAAGCAUUUCAAAUACAAUCUUAUUUAGUACAAAUAUUUGCAUCAACUUCUUGUCUUUUCAAUGUUUUAUUGUCGAUAUUCUGUUUUGAAGUUGAAAUAAUUGUAAGCAUUAUUGAAAUGUAUGUUUUUUAGGAUAUAGAUUGAAAGAUGUGUGAAUGAGGAGUUGUGGUGAUUUAAGAUUUUAAAAGUGGUUUGCACUUUGGAGAUGAUUCUAUAUCCAUCUCUUUAAAUAUAAUGUUAUUUUCAUUUCAUUAUUUUCAUUUCAUUAUUUUCAUUCUCAAAUACUAAUAUCAUUAACAAUAUCACCAUCCUCCGAGUUCUCAACUUUUGUGCCACUAAACCAUGCUUUUUAGGACCUUUAUGGUUAAUUUAUUAAGAAAUAAACAAACACACAUGAAAUACACUAGAUUAAAAAUAUAAAUAAAAAAAUCAAUAAAAAACAGAGGAAAAAUUAAACAAAAUAUAAGACAUAAUUAUUCCCAAAUGAUGUCUUCUCAUCAAUUUAGACCCAACUUCGUGUAAGUAAUAAUAUGACAAAGUUCAGAAGGCGAACACUUAAACUCACUAACAACAACAAAUUCAGUUAGGUAGAGUUUUCUGUAUGACAUGCUUCAGAGGUUGGGAUUCCACGAAAAGUGGAUUAUGUGGGUUAAAGGAUGUUUGACUUCAUCCUCUGUAUUUGUUCUGAUAAAUGGGAGUCCUACGGAGGAAUUCAAGCCAUCUAGGGGGUUAAGACAGGGAGAUCCUCUGACCCCAUUUCUGUUCCUAGUGGUUGUUGAAGGACUAGCAGGGCUUGUGAGGCAAGCGUUGAGUAUGAAGGUGCUCAGGGGUAUAAAGGUAGGAAAAAAUAGUAUUGAGUGUUGCUUGUUACAGUAUGCAGAUGACACAUUUUUCCUGUGCGAAGAUUCUUUCAACAAUAUCUUUGCUAUCAAGGCCAUCCUUCGAUGCUAUGAAAUCGUUUCAGGCUUGAAAGUUAACUUUCAUAAGUCAAAGAUGGUUGGUAUAAGUGUCAACAGCUAUGUCCUGAACACCUCUGCGAAGACGCUCAACUGCCACACCAUGUGACUACCAUUUCAAUACUUGGGGGUGGAAGUUGGCAGAAAUCCAAGGAAGAAACAGUUUUGGGAGCCGGUUGUGAAAAAAAUAGAAGCUAGACUAAGUUCUUGGAAAGGAAGAUUCUUAUCUUUGGCAAGUAGAAUAUGCCUGCUAAAAUCAGUUUUCACUACUAUACCACUUUUCUACCUAUCUGUGUAUAAAGCGCCAGUAGCAGUGUGCAACAGAAUCAAAAGUAUAUAAAGAAGAUUCCUCUGUGCUUGGGGUAGAGAAAACAAAACGAUUUCUUGGGAAGUUGGGACAAUGUUUGUAAGCCUCUUGAAGAAGGUGGGUUGGGGAUCAAAGAGAUCAGGAGUUUUAACUCUACUCUACUGUCAUAAUGGAAAUGGCGGCUUAUGAGUGAUGAGGAAGGGAAAUGGAAAGACAUACUUAAGUCAAAAUAUGAUUCAGAAGCAGGAAGUAGACAGGUUGGGUUGAAAUACCAAUCGUGGUGGUGAAGGGAUUUAGUUAAAGUAUGUGGCGAAGGAGAGGAAGGAUGGUUCCAUAAAGUUGUUGGGUGGAAAAUAGGGGAAGGGGGCAUAGUUAGAUUCUGGGAGGAUGUGUGGUUACAGAACAGUUGUCUUAAAACCUUGUAUCCUAGACUAUACGCUCUGUCGCUAGAUCAAGGUAAGAUGGUGGGAGAGGUAGGAAGAUGGGAGGAUGGUAGGUGGCGGUGGCGGUUUAAUUGGAGAAGGGAUAGAUAUGGCUGGGAGUUGAAUAUGGAGGAAGAGUUAUCCUCAAGAUUGACAACGGGAAUCAUAUGCCAGGAUGUUCAAGAUCAUCUCGUCUGGAAAGGAUAUCCAAAAGGCGUGUUCUCGGUGAAAUCAGUACACUCCAUUCUGGCCCAUCAUCAAACCAAUGGCACAGUGGAUAGUGCUUUUGGUAUUUUAUGGCAGUCGAAAGCCAUGCCCAAAGUACUUAUCACUGUUUGGAGAGUUCUUUUUGACAGACUUCCAACCAACGACAAUCUCAUAAGAAGAGGAAUAACUAUGAAUUCGCCUUUAUGUGCUUUGUGCAGCCUGUCAGACGAAUCAUCUCAACACCUCUUCCUUGCGUAUACGCGCAACGAGUAUGGUCUCGCUGCUAUCGCUGGAUUGGCAUUUUGGGGGUCCACAACAACGACAUCAGGAAUCACUUAGUAAACUUUACUUAAUCCACCUAUCUAGUACGCAAAAUCAGGUGUGGAGAGGAUUAUGGGCAACAAUUGUUAGAUGCAUUUGGGAGCAGCGAAACCAGGUAGUCUUCAAAGGAGGGGUCCCCGACUCUGAUGAAGUUUUCCAAAAUGCUCAGUUACUGUCUUGGCUGUGGUUAAAACACAAGGCAGUUGGAUUCUCAUACGCUUUUUCAGACUGACUCUUGAAUCCCAACCAGUGCCUCCUUGCUGUUAACUGAAAGUUUUAUUCUUCAUGAUGUUAAGCUGCCAUGCUGUUUUGUGUUACUGGUUUUAUCUGGCCUGUUGGUACAGGUAGGAGUCCUGGGAGACGCACCGAAUGGAAGUGGUAACUGCUGUAACAUAGAUCCUAUGUUGGAGUUGUGUUAUAUGUCACAAAGUUCAACGGAGUAGGCCAGAGGAGAUGCAAGGCUAUGGUUCAGAUAGGAGAGGUGCUAUAGGGCUGCUGCAGGAUUGCUGUCUAGGGGGUGCCUAUAGCACACAAUGGAGUGUAAGCCACGGUGGGAGCCAAUUGGCAGAAACGAGCAUGAAAAGUGGUAUAACUGCACACACAAAUGCUACCAAUCACAAGUAUCUCAACCUGUUGUUUUGGCUACAGAGGGUAUAUUCAACACUGUUUGAACAACCCUUCCUCUUGGAGCACCUGUCAUUCCACUCUCUCUGCUGGAAGCCUAUAUGACAAUAGAAGGGUCACGGUGUAGGUAGGUUUCGGAUGACUAUGGAUGGAGAAGUUGUGGCAGCUGGUUUAUGCAGGUUGAAUAAUAGUUAUCAAAAACAAGUGAGAGGAUGGCAAUGCCAGAUUCUGGCAGCAAAGGACUAUAUUUCUAUUGAGUGAAAAUAGAAGUCAUAAUGUGGCUUACCAAGAGUUGUAAUGAAUGACUGGGAUCAAGGCACCUAUCAAUGUAGUGUAAUUCACAAGAACGCUCUUAAGCUACUGUGCGUGUUGUUAAUAGCUGCCAAAGGAAGCUGCUUUUGGUGGAAACAGGUUGGAAUAUGUCUGGCCCAAAGCAAUUCUAAGCGAGGCAAUUCCCAAUGGUGGUAUGAAAGGAGAAUUUGGCCACUGGUUUUAUGCAGAUGGCACUUCUUGUUAGGCAUCACUGGUGGUAAACUAUUGUUAGAUGCUAAUAGGAUUAUGCUUAAUUGUUAGCUUCUCUGGUUUAGUGUAUGUUGGAAGCUAGUGUUGGGCUUGUUUGGUCUGGUUUUGAUGCAGGAGUACCUCUGUAGCAUGCUCAUGCUAUUAUUUAUGGUUUGUAUACUGUUGGGAUACCCCUUAAUAGGUCUUUUUUCAAUUUCAAUUAAUUAUUGGCUGAUAAAAAAAAAACAACAAAUUCAGAUUACAAGAUAUCAAGAACCAAUUUCUUGCAUCCUAUAAGAACUGGUUCAUAGCAAAUCUGUAAAACCCUCUUACAGAACAUACACUAAACACCCUAUUCAGCAUAAACACUUGGAAUCUACCUAAAAUCUAAAAUACAGGAAGAAUAUAUAACCCAAAUGAUUACACCUAAAUUGAAAUCAAAUUAGAUGAACACUUCUUAAUUAACUCAAAAUGUUCUCCAAGAUUGCCUCAGAAAGUUAUGAGAACUUGAUAUUCAAACUUAUAGAAUUAUAACUAUUUUUAUCUAAACAUUUUUUAUCAGCAAUGAAUGAAUUAAAUUAAGAGGGAUACUUUAGGGGUAUCCCAACCCGUUUACAAACCACAAACUGAUUAUACCGCUGAGCAGCCAUAAAGAGGCUAUACCUGCAGCGAUAGAUACAAGAUAAACCCUGCAGAAAAGAAACAUAGCAGCAGGAUUGAGCUCACAAACCCACUAGACCCAUCCUCCAUGCAAUCAUGAGAAGGGUGCUCUUAGCUUAUGAUCUAACCUUUAAAAAAAAGAUCCUAAGAAUACCUCAUUAGCAGUAAAGAAAACAGCAAGUACCCCGAAAAUUUAAAAUCACAACUGCAGCAAAAACAGCAAACACCAAAGUGCUUGUAUAAAUUCCCAUCUGCAGCAGACUCCAAAAAGUGAUGUUUUCUUUUGCACUCCAACCCACCUCACCCAUUUCUACCCCUGCAUGUUCUUCCAAGACCACCCCUUCCCUCUAUAAGAACCAAAAACCAUCGUCCAAAACCAGCACCUACAUACACCUACUGUUGUCCUUCCGUACUCCACCCUUCCAUAUCUUCCUCUGUUGUAGCCUUUUCCAACUUACCCAUGCCAAGUAAAACCAAAAACCCGUAGAUGUAUGUACACGAUGUGCAGCCUCCAAGCUCCAGCAAGCCUGUCCUGCACCACUAACCCAGUUCCAGCAUUCUCACACCUAUACCAGUGAUGUUUACGCCAGCUCACAUGUGGGUGAGAAUAGAUUGAGUGAAGGAUAGUGCACUUCUCAAAGCAGUGCAUACUCUCAAAGCCUAUUACAGCACCAGAGCUAUCUCAACUUCUCCCAAGAUCCCUAUCACAACGCAUCCCUUUCCAAGCAUUUCAGCUUGCUUGAAUUGUCCUUGGGUCAUCAUAGGCACCCCUACCCAUCCUCUGCUCCCAUCCUGGAAAAAUUACUUGAAACUCGUAAUGCAUAUAAGUGGAUUAAGGACCCAAUCAACGAACGAAUAGUUAAAGGAAGGCGUUUUAUGCUUCAGCCAUAGCCAAGACUUGAGUUGAGCCUUUUGGAAGACUUCCUCCACGUCUACUACCCCAUGCUGGAAAACAAUCAUAUUUCUUUGAUCCCAUAUGCUCCUAACAACAUUUGCCCAAACACCUUUCCAAAGCAGAUUUUGUUUGCUACUAGCUUGGGAUAAGAAAAAGCUUUGAAAAUGCACCUUUAAAUCAUUAUGCUGGACAGAUAAGAUACCUAUCCAAUUAAAGCACAAAGACCAUACCCGUUGAGCGUGUUUGCAUUCCAAGAAGAGGUGUUGACAUGACUCCUCCUCCAGCUGGCAUAAAGGACACGACGUAGAGAUCAUCAACACCCCUUUCCUGCUCAAGCCCACUCUUGUAGGUAUUCUUCCCACAAGUACCCUCCAAGCUGUCGUGACUACGCUUGGAAAUGCCUUUACCUUCCACAAGAGUUUAAACACUUCGGAUUGAGGGUCUCUAACUUGCUUAGCUAGGCAUUCGUAUGCAGAUUUCACAGAGAACAACCGUGAUUUCUCCUUCCCCCACGUGUGAUUGUCCUUGAUGUUCUUCUUCAAAAUGACCCUGGAUAAGAUCAUGCUAAGGUCUGCUUCCAUUGGAGUCUCCCACUCCAAUCGAGCACGCCUCCACUUCAAACUUCCACCGCCACUCCGAGUUUAUCCAUUUACAAACCUCUCCCACUGCCUGACCCUGAAUUAAGGACAGGGAAAUAAAGUCUGGGGAACAUGGAUUUUCGAUUCGCACUUUCAACCCAUACCCCCCCCCAAAAUUUAAUUUUAUGAACCCUUCCUAUUUUCCCCUCCCAACUCUCUCUUUAAACCACGCCUUUACCNNNNNNNNNNNNNNNNNNNNNNNNNNNNNNNNNNNNNNNNNNNNNNNNNNNNNNNNNNNNNNNNNNNNNNNNNNNNNNNNNNNNNNNNNNNNNNNNNNNNACCUUCUAACUCCAAGUUGUACUUUGAAUCUAGCAGCUCCUUCCACCUUCCAUUCUCAUCAGCCAGACUGCGCCAUCUCCAUUUAGCUAGAAGAGCAUAAUUGAGCAUACGUAUAUCCCGACAACCCAAACCUCCCUCCGCUUUAGAUUUGCAUACAUCUUUCCAGCUAACCCAGAAGAUUGGCUUAUUGGCUUUCCCCCAUCCCCACAGAAAUCUCCUUUGUAUGCUCAUAAUCCUCUUACAAACCGCCAGCGGUGCUUUGAAAAGGGAUAAGUAAUACAAAGGUACACCCGUUAAAACAGAGUUANNNNNNNNNNNNNNNNNNNNNNNNNNNNNNNNNNNNNNNNNNNNNNNNNNNNNNNNNNNNNNNNNNNNNNNNNNNNNNNNNNNNNNNNNNNNNNNNNNNNACAAAUUCUUCCUGCCAUUGAAAGGAAUCUUCCUUUCCAUACGCUAAGUCUUCCUUUUAACUUAUUAAUGACCGGUUCCCAGAACUGCUUCGUCAUUGGGUUUCCUCCCACUUCCAGGCCAAGAUAUUUGAACGGAAUCCCCAUCUGCGAGCAAUUUAGAGUCUUAGUGUAGCAUGAUACUGCACUACGUUGCACGUUUAUACCUGCUAGCCUGGACUUAUGGAAGUUAAUCUUUAAGCCUGAGGCUAGCUCAAAACCCCUCAAAAUGGCUUUCAAAGUUAACACGUUGCUGUAGGAGUCUUCACACAGAAAUAAGGUGUCAUCCGCAAAUUGGAGAAUACAUAUCUCUAACUCCUUGCUUCCAAUCUUGAGACCCGAUAGCAAAUUGACCUUCAAAGCCUGUCUGACAAUUCCAGCAAGACCUUCUGCUGCCACCAAGAAAAGGAAGGGGGCUAAAGGAUCACCCUGUCUCAACCCUCUUGAUGGCUUGAACUCCUCCGUAGGGCUCCCAUUGACCAGCACAGAAAUUGAAGCGGACUCCAUACAACCUCGAAUCCAAGUGAUCCAUAAGUUAUGAAACCCCAUCCUGUGCAGCAUAUCAUAUAAAAAUUCCCAUCUAACCGAGUCAUAUGCCUUCUCGAAGUCCACCUUUAAGCAAAGCCCACUUCUUCCCUUUUUUCUUAGCUCCUCCACCACUUCAUUAGCCAUAAGCACGCUGUCUAGAAUCCCUCUAUUCUUUAGGAAGGCUGAUUGGCUUUCAUCUACGAUUGCAGGCAACACCUUCUUCAACCUGCUAGCCAAAACCUUAGAUAUGAUUUUGUAUAGGGCUCCUACUAGUGAGAUGGGUCUAUACUGCUCAAGCUUAGAUGGGUCCCUGACCUUGGGGAUUAGACAAAUGAACGAAGCGUUACAACCCUUCGGAAUGGUUCCAGUCCUAUGAAACAAAGCCAUUGCUGCAAAUAUGUCAUGUUUUAUAAAUUCCCAGCUUUUCCUGAUAAAAUUGAAGUUAAAGCCAUCUGGACCGGGACUCUUCGAACCUUCACACUGCCACACUGCGUCCCUUAUCUCUUCCUCCGUGAACACUGCUACAAGUCUCUCGUUAUCCGUUGGGUUAAGAGAUUUAAACUCGACUUCAUCCAACCUUACACCAAGAUCUUUCGUGGCACUGAAUCUAGCUUCAAACAACUUUUUUGCCUCCAUGCGAACGGUACUAGGUUCCUCACACCAUUGGUCCCCAACCUGGACGCCCUUCACUUCAUUCCUGAGCCUUCUCCACCUCAAAGAUGAGUGAAAGAACCUAGUAUAGGAGUCCCCAUUUUUAAACCAGCUUGCUCUAGCCUUUUGACAAAAAAGGCUUUCAAUUUUCUUUUCAGUCUCAACCAGACGGCUUGUCAAUUCCAUUUUUUCCAACCUCUCACCUUCCCCUAAGCCCCCAUUGCAGUCUUGGCAAUCUAAAGCCUCCAGAUCCUGAAGGAUCCUCCUCUUAGUAGUAUCAAGGUUACCAAACACAUCUCUGUUCCAUACUUUCAGAUCUGUUUUGAGCAUUUUCAAUUUUUCUUUAAAAACCGUUAUACCAUUCCCCUGUAUCGAGUAUGAUUGCCAUUUAUCCUUCACCAUCUUGUUAAAGCCCCUUUCCAAAAGCCAAGCGUCAAUGAAUCUGAAGGGCUUAGGUCCCCAGUCCUUUUCUACAGACUUAACCACCAAUGCACAAUGGUCGGAUACCUCCCUCCGUAAAACAUACUGUUUACUCGUGGGCCAUAGUUUAAGCCACUCUUCAGAAACCAGCACUCUAUCAAUUCUGCUCUUAGCCGUUCCAUCCGGUUUGAACCACGUAAAACUCUUGCCUACUUUAUCUAAACAUAGUUCUUUCUCUCAAUUUUUCACAAAACUUCAUUCGACUUCAAAAUACUUUCAAAGAGAGACUUAUAUAGACAACAGGUCGGUGGAUCUUUUCUCCUUGUAUGUUGCUCUUUUUACCCAUUCUUACAAUUUAAAGACUUCCAACUUACACUCUAAUAGAAAUUAGUUAGUUUUCGUUCUUGUACGUAUAUUAUUAUGCAAAAUACCCAAAAGGUUAAUAUAUUAUGUUGUCCUUUCAUAACAUGAAACUAAACUAAGGUUAUACCAUGUUAUAACUUAUAAGUCAUCUUUUAAAGGGGGAAAUGCUAUAUUAUCUCUUUGGCAUUUUUUUCCUGUGUAAGGCAAAUACUUAACAUUUGGUGUUUUGCUAAAUGGCUUGCCAUGUUCAAAUCCUUUCUAUCUUAACAGAUGAUGAGAAAAGAAAACAACUUGAUUGUAAACUAAGAUUAACCAUUAUCAAUGGAAUAGCAAGAGAUCUUCUAUACCUUCAUGAGGACUCUCGACUCAAAGUAAUUCAUAGAGAUCUCAAAGCUAGCAAUGUUCUAUUAGACCAUGACAUGAAUCCCAAAAUAUCAGAUUUUAGAUUGGCAAAAAAGCAUUUGAAAUUGGACAGAACCAAGCAAAUACAAAACGAGUAACGGGCACUUAGUGAGUUUUACUUAUACCAAACAUAUCUUAUCAGUAGGACUUGUGAAUGCAUACUUCAGAGUUUAAUGAUUGAAAAAAUGAAAUUCCUUGUUAUAUACUUGAACAAGAAAAAUUAACAAAGCUCUAUUGUUUUGAAUUAAUGGAUACAUGGCUCCUGAGUACGCUAUGCAAGGAUUAUUUUAAGUGAAAUCUGAUGUUUUCAGCUUCGGAGUUCUAGUUCUAGAAACCAUUUGUGGAAGAAAGAACAACGGAUUCUAUCUGUCAGAACAUGGUCAAACUCUUCUUUUAUAUGUGAGUCAUCCCUCUGGUCUGAUUAACCAAAUAUCAACAAUACUAGCUAACUGAAGUAUGACAGUAUUAUUCACAAAUUAAUGACAAAUACUUGUAGGCUUGGAGAACAUGGUGUGAAGGAAAAUGUUUGGAAUUGAUGGAUCCAAUGCUGGAAAAAUCCUUCAAAGGCAGUGAAGUUGAGAAGUGCAUACACAUUGCUUUGUUGUGCGUUCAAGAAAAUGCAACAUACAGACCAACCAUGUCAGAUGUUGUUGUUAUGCUAGGGAGUGACAACAUGACGCUUCCAAAACCCAAGCACCCAGCAUUUUCAGUUGGAAGAAAGGUGUCAGAGGAAGUACAAAUAGACUACGAAUUCUCCAAAACUGAGUUGAAAGCUGAAAUUCAGAGCAGUGCUAGCAAGGUAAGCAGUUUUGCAGAAAUAUAAAUGGAAGUAUCACACGGAUCGUUGUUAUCAAUGAUUGAGAUUUAUUCAUGUGGUUUAGUUAUUUAGACAUAAAACACUACUACAAUAACAUCAAUAAUCAAUAAGAUCAAUAAAUUUUUGAUUUCCUAGCUCAAAGAAAUGAUCCUUAAGUGACUAAAUUUGACCAAACUGGUUUCGAAUCUGUGUUUGGCAGCUGAGCAAAGCCUUAUCCUGGAAGAAAGUUAAGAGAAGAAGAUUCAAACUCUAAAAGUAGAAGAAACCAACAACAGAAGCCAAUGCCCAUUAGUAUAGGCUUUGAUAGCAUGCUCUCGGACAAGCUGCAGUUUUAAGCAGUGAUCGUGGCUUUUCUUUUGGAGCCAAUGAUUCACCGAGCUUAACCUCCUGCACUAAAGCUGUAAGAAAAUCUGCACAAAGAAAUACAAAAUGCAGCAGAAAUUGAUGUAAGAAUAACUCUUAGUUUAAUUCUUUCUUGUUUCUUUUUGUACGAGUGAUUGCAGCUUGGUUUUAAGCUGGGAAGAGCCUUAAGAAAGUAGG